RNAcentral lists this ribosomal RNA (301 nucleotides) under uncultured bacterium. RNAcentral's name for it is "partial 16S ribosomal RNA". It matches the Rfam family "Bacterial small subunit ribosomal RNA", at positions 509 to 807 of the family's 1533-position model. The record is from RNAcentral.
CAGUAGCCGCGGGAAUACGGAGGGAGCUAGCGUUAUUCGGAAUUACUGGGCGUAAAGCGCACGUAGGCGGCUUUGUAAGUUAGAGGUGAAAGCCUGGAGCUCAACUCCAGAAUUGCCUUUAAGACUGCAUCGCUUGAAUCCAGGAGAGGUGAGUGGAAUUCCGAGUGUAGAGGUGAAAUUCGUAGAUAUUCGGAAGAACACCAGUGGCGAAGGCGGCUCACUGGACUGGUAUUGACGCUGAGGUGCGAAAGCGUGGGGAGCAAACAGGAUUAGAUACCCGUGUAGUCCCUGUCUCUUAUAC